RNAcentral lists this long non-coding RNA (1139 nucleotides) under Sorghum bicolor (sorghum). Its description in RNAcentral is "long non-coding RNA (SBIC_LNC016614)". Lineage: Eukaryota; Viridiplantae; Streptophyta; Magnoliopsida; Poales; Poaceae. The record is from RNAcentral.
AUAUGUACAGAUUCUAUUCUUAGUUCUUAGGAUUGUUCUAGCCAAAUAUGAAGCUAAAUAUUUGCUCUAUGCAUUUUAGUUGGCAGUGCUACCAUACACCAUGACUUUGACCACUAUAGAUGGACCUGACGAAUCGUCAUGCUAUGCCAACAAUUUCAAGCUCCUUCAAAGGCUUCUCUGAUGACUUCCUGCUGUCGACAGGUUACCUUCCAUUGGGGUAGUCACAAUGGUGAGAUUCCUUAGUGUUCUAUUGAAAUUAUAUAUGCCAUACUUUGCCCUUAUCACUCAAAUUAAAUUAUUUUACAUUUCAUUUCCACACACUACGCUUUACUGUUUAACACGGUCAAAUUGUGUGUUCCUGCGGUAACUAUAUCUGCCAUGGAGUGGCCUUUAUUACUACACAGGCUGUACUUUUGAUGUCUUCAUGUUGUAUUUUCCUAAUGCGCUUAGAGGCUUAGAACAUCGUGCUAUCCACAUAUUGCCACUUCAUGCCAUGAUCCACAUAUAUUCCUGCUCCAAAUUCUUUAACUUACACCAAUUAUAGCUCUCCAAAGAUAGGGACUUAGUUUACUCAUUACCCUUAUUGUAUUGUCCUGUUCAAGGUUACCUCUCUGCCCACCUUAUUGUUUCUAUAUGCUUCUUUUCCAUAUUCUUAUUUAGGGGCUUUUGACCUCCUUUUUCAAGGUACCUGACAUGCAUUAUUCCCAUUGCUUUCAGAUGUUGACCUCCCUUUAUAUCGUGGAUUACUCCAAUUCUUGCAGUUCUGAAAUGAUCAGAAACAACCAUUGAUAUGCACUGAAACAUUGGAAGGGCAACACGCUGCGAGCACAUAUAUAUCAAUCCAUGCAUCAGCACCGAUUGUGUUGACUUAUUUAAGGAUGUCUAGCUUGAACUCAUGCUAUAUGCCUGUAUAAUAUUCCUCCACCUUCAUGAUUUACCACACAAAUUAUAUAUGUAUCUUAUAAAUAGUAUCAAUAUAUACCUCUCCUUAUGAAUUAUUCAUUUUAAAUUAAAUUGAAUUGCAAAUAAUCCCAUAAUCUGUAUUUUGAACAUCCACGCACUUUCUCCAUAUUUAUAAUUUUUCAUAUAGCUGCUCAUGCGCGCGAUGGCACGCGCCCUUUUUUUUCUCGAACAGGAGA